AUUUACAUGAACACGGAUGCCAGGCAGUGAUGUUCAUACAUACCUUCCAAAGAGGAGCAGUGCUUGAUGAUUUGAGAGAUGGUGCGAUUGACAGCGUUGGAAAAGGCAGUGUGCUAUCCAGAGAAUGGAUAUAAAACUUCCUCAUGCAGCUUUGCCUGUGUGCUGCAGCUCAUCAGGACCACAACAAAAAAGUGAAAGAACUUGAGACCAUCUUUCUGUGGUGUCUUUAUUGAGGCAUGAAAGUGGACCCAGCUGUUUCUUUGGGGAGGACAUCAAGCCUGGGGCGGUGCUGCAGGGAGGAGACGGACCAUUUCUCCCAUCCUGCUAACACAGCCACUGCAGAGUCCCAUCCUGUGCCUGAGCCGUGCCCGAGGGCUCUUCUCCUGUUUGCCCGUCCCUUUGUACAUUACUGCUGCCCUCCCAGCCAGCCCCUCCCAUUCUCCCACCUCAGGGCAGCAUUUUGCACUCACCCCCCACACUGAUGCCUUCGUGUGGAUCAAAGCCUCACACCGGGGUACACAGCUGUCUCACACCUCGA
Molecule: long non-coding RNA, 538 nt
Organism: Hirundo rustica (Barn swallow)
Lineage: Eukaryota; Metazoa; Chordata; Aves; Passeriformes; Hirundinidae
Exons: 3
Source: RefSeq, a predicted model, not a curated record